CAGUCGCCGCGGUAAUACAGAGGGUGCGAGCGUUAAUCGGAUUUACUGGGCGUAAAGCGUGCGUAGGCGGCUAAUUGAGUCGGAUGUGAAAUCCCCGAGCUUAACUUGGGAAUUGCAUUCGAUACUGGUUAGCUAGAGUGUGGGAGAGGAUGGUAGAAUUCCAGGUGUAGCGGUGAAAUGCGUAGAGAUCUGGAGGAAUACCGAUGGCGAAGGCAGCCAUCUGGCCUAACACUGACGCUGAGGUACGAAAGCAUGGGGAGCAAACAGGAUUAGAUACCCGCGUAGUCCAUGUCUCUUAUAC
This 301-nucleotide ribosomal RNA is filed under the name uncultured bacterium. RNAcentral describes it as "partial 16S ribosomal RNA". It matches the Rfam family "Bacterial small subunit ribosomal RNA", at positions 509 to 807 of the family's 1533-position model. The record is from RNAcentral.